RNAcentral lists this ribosomal RNA (482 nucleotides) under uncultured bacterium. Its description in RNAcentral is "partial 16S ribosomal RNA". It matches the Rfam family "Bacterial small subunit ribosomal RNA", at positions 28 to 523 of the family's 1533-position model. The record is from RNAcentral.
GACGAACGCUGGCGGCGUGCUUAACACAUGCAAGUCGAACGGAAAGGCCCAGCUUGCUGGGUACUCGAGUGGCGAACGGGUGAGUAACACGUGGGUGAUCUGCCCUGCACUCUGGGAUAAGCCUGGGAAACUGGGUCUAAUACCGGAUAUGAUCAACUGUCGCAUGGUGGUUGGUGGAAAGCUUUUGCGGUGUGGGAUGGGCCCGCGGCCUACCAGCUUGUGGGUGGGGUAAUGGCCUACCAAGGCGACGACGGGUAGCCGACCUGAGAGGGUGAUCGGCCACACUGGGACUGAGACACGGCCCAGACUCCUACGGGAGGCAGCAGUGGGGAAUAUUGCACAAUGGGCGCAAGCCUGUUGCAGCGACGCCGCGUGAGGGAUGACGGCCUUCGGGUUGUAAACCUCUUUCACCAGGGACGAAGCGUGAGUGACGGUACCUGGAGAAGAAGCACCGGCCAACUACGUGCCAGCAGCCGCCGUAA